Molecule: long non-coding RNA, 2456 nt
Organism: Hypomesus transpacificus
Lineage: Eukaryota; Metazoa; Chordata; Actinopteri; Osmeriformes; Osmeridae
Exons: 2
Source: RefSeq, a predicted model, not a curated record
UUAGACAUUUUCGUGGUGUACUGCGACUCCCAGUGGCUUAAGUGUGCGUACCAUGUCUUGACAGUUUUAUUACAGGGUAGUAUCAAAUAAAUACGUCAUUUUUGAGUUUCAAUGAUUUGCCCAUAUGAACUCAUAGGCUACUAUAGGCCUACGUGUUUGUAUCUACCUCGGAUGGAUGAUUAGAGGACGAUUUGGGUUCAGAAGAUGUAUGGAAUAGUGAACUCACAAAUCAUCAUUUGACCGAGCAAGGAUUUUAAGAUCACGCCCUACUUUGCGUGAGCGGUGACGCUCUGCAACAGCGUCAAUUGUCACCGGUUCAGAAUACGGAGACAGCAAUACCGGUUUGUUGGGGGGGAAUAAAGCCCAAGCAUUUUCGAGGAACGACAGUGGUACGAAUGUACAUUCUUAUUCCGACAACGAUUGUAUUAACUUUGGCAAUCUUUCGAGAGCGUGGCGUAGCUGGGGUGUCGACCGGCGGAUGCUGGCUGCUCCCUCUCGAUGGUGUCUCCCACCAUGAAGGCGGUGGUAGACGCUGUGUGGGCGGUGUGGAGCAUCGGGGCCUCCAUCUACGACUACAUCCACACCAGCGCCAUGGAGGAGCGCAUCCACGCGCUGGAGAACGUCAUCACGGUGCACCAGUGCGUCAUAGGCCUGUUGUCUGCCACCCUGGUGGUGAUGUUCACCUACAUACUGUUUAGAAACCACUGAGGGGCUAGGAGGUGGAAGACGGGACGCGAGGGAACUGGAGAACGGACGUGGAUGGGAUUUCGGUAACCGGGGCUUUGGCUCGACGAGCUAAUGCAAGCACCGAGGACGGGUGGAAGACAUGUUUUGUGGUUGUCAAUGUUGGUUUGGAGUAGAAGGGUACUGUAGACCGGGAUGCAAGGACCAUGACCUGUCAAGAAGAAUGGUUCGGCUACCUGGUCACCAGUUUGUCUGGCUACUUGACUCUUGUGUGGGUGUGUUCUGAAUACUCAGUCAUUCAUGAGUGACUGGUUUAAAGCCAUGUCAUUGAGCUCUUUCCAUUACAAGUAAACCCAGUACCAGUUUGAAAUAGGGAUGUCAGAUUUUCCACAUCUCCUCCAUCUGGAGUCUUUUCCUCAAUGGAAUUAAGUAACUGAAUUAAUCCUGAUUCCCUCGCUCACAGCCCAAUUUCUGCCUUAAUACGCCUCAUGUGGUUCAACUCUCCAGAUGGAAGGAAUAACAUUAUUUUGUUGUCAUGUUUGCACUAAUUGCUUCUCUAGUCUGUAUAAGCCAUGGGAAACUGUAAACUGGGGAUUCACUUUUUAAAUCUAGGGUUUUGAAAGUUAAAUGUCUGCCCACUUAAAGCACACGGGAAGUCCUGGGUGAGGAAGAUGGCUGGCUUUGUUCUCUUCUCCCUCAGGUCUGGAGGUAAAGAGGUUAACUAGCAUGCACGCACAGAGAAGGGAAGAGAGAAGGAUGGAGAGAGAGAAUACCAUCAUGGGACUGAAUGCAGGUUUGAACCGGGGGCUUCCAUAAUAGAUUUAGAGGGGCCUCAAAGACACCUUUAAACUCUCCAGCUGUUCUUCAUACAGUGGUUAAUAAUAAUUAGGGCAACUGUUACAGUCUGCUAGGUUGGGGGGGGGGAAACUCUCCUGUACUGUAAGUGUAAGAAACAUAAAUUAAUAGUAGUUUAAUUGACUAAUAUUAGAACUAAGAUUUGGGACGUUUAUAGGUGUUUCCUGGCACGUCAUAAGCUGUAUGACAGCAUCACUGGAGUGACAGGAAAGUGGGUAUCGAAGUGUCCUUAAACACAGUAAAUAUGCAUCAAUCGAAAUCGUCAAGUUUAUAAACCGUUUCAUUACAUUUUAUAAUAUACUGAAAUUGUAAGACAGUUGUUUUUGAAAGGUGACAGGCAAAGGUACAGGUGUGUAUUGUGAAACAAAAUUAUUUGGUUCUAAUUAGCAAAGUAAAGUACAUAAGUACUCAGGCAUAAAGAGAAUGUAAGGCGUCUUAAACGAAUAAACAUUCCCUCCCCCCCAUACUAAUAUCUGCCAAGACAUAGCUCACUUAUUCACUCCUGAAAAACUGCCUGUAAUUUAUGCCUUCCUUUCUUCAGUGGACUCACUGUCAUACAGGGCUCAGGGCAAACAAAUGGCCCUGUAAGAACCAUAAAGGUUCACUCGGUUUAUGUUAACCAGGUGGUUGUAUGUGUGUACUGGUUCUACCAGUUCUACUGUGUACUGCCGAAGGUUAUUGUACUGUAUGAGAGUUUUGCAUGAUUGAUUUGGAUAUGUUUUGGAUCCCAUUUGUCUUUUACCUUACUGUCGACUGUAAAUGUACUGUAUGAGAGGCUUCAGAGAGAAACUUACAUCAGGGUUGUUUAAUGUUAACAGCAUCUAAGUUUGUUUUGAAUGUAUAACAAAUGUAGAAUUGUGAUAAGUGAAUAAGAAAUGUUGUAAAAUUGAAUGUUAAAUACAGUUUUUAACUAAUAA